UGCGAACUAGCUACAUUUAUAAUAUAUAAACAAAAAUUGCUGUUGAAAGGGCAAUGCAUUGUAAUAGAUAUAAUAUAUUAAUGCUCGAUCGGUCACGAUUAACCCUACAGUAUCUCAAGCAGGAUUUAUGGGAUUUAAACAAGAUUUGGGGGCUUAAGGAUCAUGUGCCUUAGAAGAAGCAUGUGCGAUCAUUGUAGAGACUCGGGAUUAUCAUCAUGUUCAGCAGCUAAAUAUCACUGUCAGAUCAUGCUUAACAAGAUCAUCAUGAGUACACUCGCAUAAAAGAACAAAGAACGAAGAGUAUAUAUGCCGUUUGAGACCUUUAAAGCAGACAUGGUAUCAAACAGAUACAUGCUCCAUGAUUCCAGUGUUGCACGUACUGAGGAACACGUAGUUGCUCCAUGAUCCCAGUGUUGCAUAGACUGAGGAACAUCGAUACUGUGCUGUGGGGAAUCAUGAGGUCAAAUCCGUUUUGUAAGAUUAUCAUGGGUUUGAAGAGGGCAUUCAUGUAUACUGUAGAGAUGGAUUGCUGGAGAUAAAAUGCGUUUUCCCUUUAUUUUCUUGGGAAGAAGAAGGAAAAGAAAGAAGAAAAAAUGAUCAUAGGGCGAAAGCAAGAAGACACCUUGCCAGACAGGAGGAGGACCAGUCAAGUAGAAGCGACAUAAUUAGGCAGGCCCAAACAAGACUCAAGCCUAAACAAUUUGACUUGUGUGUUGUAGCCCGAUAAUUGAAUAGGUCGCAGCAUUCCUAGCAGGGGUCCAUUCUGCACCUAAUC
RNAcentral lists this long non-coding RNA (775 nucleotides) under Populus trichocarpa (black cottonwood). RNAcentral's name for it is "long non-coding RNA (PTRI_LNC000910)". The record is from RNAcentral. Lineage: Eukaryota; Viridiplantae; Streptophyta; Magnoliopsida; Malpighiales; Salicaceae.